CCCUUAGAUGUCCUGGGCUGCACGCGCGCUACACUGGAAGUUACGGAUUGAGAUACUACCUUGUCCGAAAUGGUCCGGGUAAUCACCUAAAAGCUUGUCAUAAUUGGAAUGGAUUAUUGUAACUAGUAAUCCUGAACGAGGAAUUCCUAGUAAGUCCCAGUCAACAGCUGGUACUGAUUACGUCCCUGCCCUUUGUACACACCGCCCGUCGCUACUACUGAUUGGACGUUUAAGCAAGAUUUUUAAACACUGACAGUGUGUAGUUCACGCUAUACUACAGUGAGAAGAAGAAGAUCGAGCUUACUUGUCUAGAGGAAGUAGAAGUCGUAACA
This 332-nucleotide ribosomal RNA is filed under the name uncultured eukaryote. Its description in RNAcentral is "partial 18S ribosomal RNA". It matches the Rfam family "Eukaryotic small subunit ribosomal RNA", at positions 1470 to 1796 of the family's 1831-position model. The record is from RNAcentral.